UGCAGUAUUGCAGUUAAUUUUUCAAUAUGUACUGUUAAACUAUUCAAGAGCCACAAGUAUGAUUCUACUGAGCUGCAUGCAGCUCACAAGCCACAGAUUGCCAACCCCUGAACUAGGCUGUGAACUAUUUCUUAUAUUUUUAAAUAACACAGUUAUGUUUUAAUAUUACCUAAAAACUUAAUGCAAACAUUGAUUGAGUUUAAAAACAUAAAAGAUAAUGCUAAAAACUACAUUAUAUAUAUAUUAACAAUAUUUACUAUAACAACAUUAUGCUUCUGAUAGAACCUAGCUCCAACUGUUAAUUAUACUACUGCUAUUUGUCAUCAUAUAAAUUUCUAUAUUCUCUAUCACUUGACCUUUAGCUAUUGUUAUGCUGACAUCUUCCCAUGCAACUGUUGAAUCAAAAUUUACAAUCCUAUGGAAAAGUGCCAUUUUUUUUUUCUGAUCUACACUCUGUUCUUUUAAUCUCUUCAAUAAUGAUCAACAAGUGUAAUAUAUUUAGACCUUUUUCUUAUGAAGAUAGUCAUCUUCAUAUUUCAGUGGUUUAUGAGAAACUAACCUCUCUGCACAUCUUCCUAUUGAAUAUCAUUAUUUCAGAUUGUAACUAAAAUAAUGAGAACAAUACACAGAUAAGGAGACUCACCAUUAUUUCUUCAUCCAAAAAACAUUUAUUUCUUUCCCUUAUUAGUUACAUUAAUUGUACAGUAACAAAAAAAAAUCACCAGGCCAACACAAAAGACAAUUUUCAUCAACUUCUCCACCAAUGCCACUUUAUGUCACCAGUUAACAUAUUAAUCUAACUAAUAUUUACAUCAACUGUUUUAUAUUUUAAAUUGCAAUAUACCUAUAUAAAUAUAUUUCUUUUUUAGUUUUCUUUUUUCUUCAACACCAUAUUCCUACACUGUUAUCUAUAUCAUCAUUGCAAAUUAGGAUGCUCUGGUUCUUUGGUAGACAACCAAAGCUAAAUCAUAUUCUGAAAUAAUUACCAGGGUUAUGAUAAAAUACUUAAAUUUUAAUUUGUGUUAAAAUGGAAUCAAGAUUGUAGAAAUAAAAGAUGAUGAAUGCAUAAAAUUGCAAAGCAUAGAAAUAUUUGUUUUAACUUUAUAACCUUUGCUUAUGCUCUUGUUGACUUUUACUGAUUCAUAUUUUUUGAACUGGCAUUUAAAUGAGCAGCGGUCACCAAUAUAUAUAUAUAUAUAUAUAUAUAUAUAUA
Molecule: long non-coding RNA, 1213 nt
Filed under: Androctonus crassicauda
Lineage: Eukaryota; Metazoa; Arthropoda; Arachnida; Scorpiones; Buthidae
Source: RNAcentral